CCUUAGAGUUUGAUCCUGGCUCAAGAGGACCUUUAGCUACAGGCUUAACACAUGCAAGUCGAGGGGCAGCAUCAUCAAAGCUUGCUUUGAUGGAUGGCGACCGGCGCACGGGUGAGUAACACGUAUCCAACCUGCCGACAACACUGGGAUAGCCUUUCAAAAGAAAGAUUAAUACCGGAUGGCAUAUUUUUUCCGCAUGGGAUAAUUAUUAAAGAAUUUCGGUUGUCGAUGGGGAUGCGUUCCAUUAGGCAGUUGGCGGGGUAACGGCCCACCAAACCAACGAUGGAUAGGGGUUCUGAGAGGAAGGUCCCCCACAUUGGAACUGAGACACGGUCCAAACUCCUACGGGAGGCAGCAGUGAGGAAUAUUGGUCAAUGGACGAGAGUCUGAACCAGCCAAGUAGCGUGAAGGAUGACUGCCCUAUGGGUUGUAAACUUCUUUUAUACAGAAAUAAAGUUAGCCACGUGUGGCUUUUUGUAUGUACCGUAUGAAUAAGGAUCGGCUAACUCCGUGCCAGCAGCCGCGGUAAUACGGAGGAUCCGAGCGUUAUCCGGAUUUAUUGGGUUUAAAGGGAGCGUAGGCGGGUUGUUAAGUCAGUUGUGAAAGUUUGCGGCUCAACCGUAAAAUUGCAGUUGAUACUGGCGACCUUGAGUGCAACAGAGGUAGGCGGAAUUCGUGGUGUAGCGGUGAAAUGCUUAGAUAUCACGAAGAACUCCGAUUGCGAAGGCAGCUUACUGGAUUGUAACUGACGCUGAUGCUCGAAAGUGUGGGUAUCAAACAGGAUUAGAUACCCUGGUAGUCCACACAGUAAAC
This 813-nucleotide ribosomal RNA is filed under the name uncultured bacterium. Its description in RNAcentral is "bacterial SSU rRNA". It matches the Rfam family "Bacterial small subunit ribosomal RNA", at positions 1 to 807 of the family's 1533-position model. The record is from RNAcentral.